Molecule: ribosomal RNA, 445 nt
Filed under: uncultured bacterium
Lineage: Bacteria
Description: bacterial SSU rRNA
Rfam family: Bacterial small subunit ribosomal RNA
Source: RNAcentral
GCCAGACUCCUACGGGAGGCAGCAGUGGGGAAUAUUGCACAAUGGGGGAAACCCUGAUGCAGCGGCGCCGCGUGAGUGAAGAAGUAUUUCGGUAUGUAAAGCUCUAUCAGCAGGGAAGAAAAUGACGGUACCUGAUUAAGAAGCCCCGGCUAACUACGUGCCAGCAGCCGCGGUAAUACGUAGGGGGCAAGCGUUAUCCGGAUUUACUGGGUGUAAAGGGAGCGUAGACGGUGAUGCAAGUCAGAAGUGAAAGCCCGGGGCUCAACUCCGGGACUGCUUUUGAAACUGUGUAACUGGAGUGCAGGAGAGGUAAGCGGAAUUCCUGGUGUAGCGGUGAAAUGCGUAGAUAUCAGGAGGAACACCAGUGGCGAAGGCGGCUUACUGGACUGUAACUGACGUUGAGGCUCGAAAGCGUGGGGAGCAAACAGGAUUAGAUACCCGAGUA